RNAcentral lists this ribosomal RNA (542 nucleotides) under uncultured bacterium. RNAcentral's name for it is "bacterial SSU rRNA". It matches the Rfam family "Bacterial small subunit ribosomal RNA", at positions 969 to 1509 of the family's 1533-position model. The record is from RNAcentral.
CCUUACCUGGCCUUGACAUACUAAGAACUUUCCAGAGAUGGAUUGGUGCCUUUCGGGAACUUAGAUACAGGUGCUGCAUGGCUGUCGUCAGCUCGUGUCGUGAGAUGUUGGGUUAAGUCCCGCAACGAGCGCAACCCUUUUCCUUAUUUGCCAGCGGGUUAAGCCGGGAACUUUAAGGAUACUGCCAGUGACAAACUGGAGGAAGGCGGGGACGACGUCAAGUCAUCAUGGCCCUUACGGCCAGGGCUACACACGUGCUACAAUGGUCGGUACAAAGGGUUGCUACCUCGCGAGAGGAUGCUAAUCUCAAAAAGCCGAUCGUAGUCCGGAUCGCAGUCUGCAACUCGACUGCGUGAAGUCGGAAUCGCUAGUAAUCGCGGAUCAGAAUGCCGCGGUGAAUACGUUCCCGGGCCUUGUACACACCGCCCGUCACACCAUGGGAGUUUGUUGCACCAGAAGUAGGUAGUCUAACCGCAAGGAGGACGCUUACCACGGUGUGGCCGAUGACUGGGGUGAAGUCGUAACAAGGUAGGCGUAGAUGA